AGAGUUUGAUCAUGGCUCAGAUUGAACGCUGGCGGCAGGCCUAACACAUGCAAGUCGAGCGGUAGCACAGAGAGCUUGCUCUCGGGUGACGAGCGGCGGACGGGUGAGUAAUGUCUGGGAAACUGCCUGAUGGAGGGGGAUAACUACUGGAAACGGUAGCUAAUACCGCAUAACGUCGCAAGACCAAAGUGGGGGACCUUCGGGCCUCAUGCCAUCAGAUGUGCCCAGAUGGGAUUAGCUAGUAGGUGGGGUAAUGGCUCACCUAGGCGACGAUCCCUAGCUGGUCUGAGAGGAUGACCAGCCACACUGGAACUGAGACACGGUCCAGACUCCUACGGGAGGCAGCAGUGGGGAAUAUUGCACAAUGGGCGCAAGCCUGAUGCAGCCAUGCCGCGUGUAUGAAGAAGGCCUUCGGGUUGUAAAGUACUUUCAGCGAGGAGGAAGGCAUUAAGGUUAAUAACCUUGGUGAUUGACGUUACUCGCAGAAGAAGCACCGGCUAACUCCGUGCCAGCAGCCGCGGUAAUACGGAGGGUGCAAGCGUUAAUCGGAAUUACUGGGCGUAAAGCGCACGCAGGCGGUCUGUCAAGUCGGAUGUGAAAUCCCCGGGCUCAACCUGGGAACUGCAUUCGAAACUGGCAGGCUAGAGUCUUGUAGAGGGGGGUAGAAUUCCAGGUGUAGCGGUGAAAUGCGUAGAGAUCUGGAGGAAUACCGGUGGCGAAGGCGGCCCCCUGGACAAAGACUGACGCUCAGGUGCGAAAGCGUGGGGAGCAAACAGGAUUAGAUACCCUGGUAGUCCACGCCGUAAACGAUGUCGACUUGGAGGUUGUGCCCUUGAGGCGUGGCUUCCGGAGCUAACGCGUUAAGUCGACCGCCUGGGGAGUACGGCCGCAAGGUUAAAACUCAAAUGAAUUGACGGGGGCCCGCACAAGCGGUGGAGCAUGUGGUUUAAUUCGAUGCAACGCGAAGAACCUUACCUACUCUUGACAUCCAGAGAACUUAGCAGAGAUGCUUUGGUGCCUUCGGGAACUCUGAGACAGGUGCUGCAUGGCUGUCGUCAGCUCGUGUUGUGAAAUGUUGGGUUAAGUCCCGCAACGAGCGCAACCCUUAUCCUUUGUUGCCAGCGGUUAGGCCGGGAACUCAAAGGAGACUGCCAGUGAUAAACUGGAGGAAGGUGGGGAUGACGUCAAGUCAUCAUGGCCCUUACGAGUAGGGCUACACACGUGCUACAAUGGCAUAUACAAAGAGAAGCGACCUCGCGAGAGCAAGCGGACCUCAUAAAGUAUGUCGUAGUCCGGAUUGGAGUCUGCAACUCGACUCCAUGAAGUCGGAAUCGCUAGUAAUCGUAGAUCAGAAUGCUACGGUGAAUACGUUCCCGGGCCUUGUACACACCGCCCGUCACACCAUGGGAGUGGGUUGCAAAAGAAGUAGGUAGCUUAACCUUCGGGAGGGCGCUUACCACUUUGUGAUUCAUGACUGGGGUGAAGUCGUAACAAGGUAACCGUAGGGGAACCUGCGGUUGGAUCACCU
RNAcentral lists this ribosomal RNA (1528 nucleotides) under Klebsiella aerogenes. Its description in RNAcentral is "bacterial SSU rRNA". It matches the Rfam family "Bacterial small subunit ribosomal RNA". The record is from RNAcentral. Lineage: Bacteria; Pseudomonadati; Pseudomonadota; Gammaproteobacteria; Enterobacterales; Enterobacteriaceae.